GAUUCCCUCAGUAGCGGCGAGCGAAGCGGGAAGAGCCCAACAUGAAAAGGCCGUGCCGUCCGCGGUGCGGCCGUUGUAAUGUGAGCAGCCUGGGUGCGUCAGUGCAGGUAAGUGACAUGAAAAUGUUCGCCGUGGAGGGUGAGAGCCCCGUCCAGCCUGCACAGGGCGUGCCGUACAGGGCUGUCUCGAAUGAGUCGGGUAGCUUGGGAAUGCUGCUCUAAGAUCGGUGGUAAAUUUCAUCGAAGGCUAAAUACUGCUGGAAGACCGAUAGUGAACAAGUACCGUGAGGGAAAGAUGAAAAGCACUUUGAAAAGAGGGUGAAAAGAAUCUGAAACCGUUGUGAGGGAAGCGGAUUGCGUUGCAGUAACUGUGGGCGCCGGUGUGUUCAGCCUGUUUCGGCGGGUGUAGUGGCACCGGUGGCUCCGUCUGCUGUGGGUUUGUGGUGGCUGAUUGCAAGGCUGCUGCGGACUGAGGGCUCCGUGCUGCUUUGCGGCGGCACGUGAGGACGGCAGGGUGACGACGCGAUACGACCCGUCUUGAAACACGGACCAAGGAGUCUAGCACAGCUGCGAGUCUGAGGGUGUCAAAGCCUGUGGGCGAAGUGAAAGCGAAAGAUGGCGGUAAUUCCAUAUUUUCAGAAUGACAAAGUUGUUGCAAUUUGGGGCGGCGCGCGAUCUCUGAUUGCGUGUCCGACCUAGAGCAGUUGUGCUGGUACCCGAAAGAUGGUGAACUAUUCCUGAGUAGGGUGAAGCCGGAGGAAACUCUGGUGGAAGCCCGAAGCGGUGCUGACGUGCAA
Molecule: ribosomal RNA, 796 nt
Filed under: Asparagopsis taxiformis
Lineage: Eukaryota; Rhodophyta; Florideophyceae; Bonnemaisoniales; Bonnemaisoniaceae
Description: partial 28S ribosomal RNA
Rfam family: Eukaryotic large subunit ribosomal RNA
Source: RNAcentral